Molecule: ribosomal RNA, 301 nt
Filed under: uncultured bacterium
Lineage: Bacteria
Description: partial 16S ribosomal RNA
Rfam family: Bacterial small subunit ribosomal RNA
Source: RNAcentral
CAGCCGCCACGGGAAUACGUAGGGGGCUAGCGUUGUUCGGAAUUACUGGGCGUAAAGCGCGCGUAGGCGGUUACUCAAGUCAGAGGUGAAUGCCCGGGGCUCAACCCCGGAACUGCCUUUGAAACUAGGUGACUAGAAUCUUGGAGAGGUCAGUGGAAUUCCGAGUGUAGCGGUGAAAUGCGUAGAUAUUAGGAAGAACACCAGUGGCGUAGGCGACUAGCUGGGCCAUAACUGACGCUGAGGAACGAAAGCCAGGGGAGCGAAUGGGAUUAGAUACCCCCGUAGUCCCUGUCUCUUAUAC